Molecule: long non-coding RNA, 1959 nt
Filed under: Anas platyrhynchos platyrhynchos (common mallard)
Lineage: Eukaryota; Metazoa; Chordata; Aves; Anseriformes; Anatidae
Description: lncRNA (ENSAPLG00000029942.1)
Source: RNAcentral
GGCUGGAAGAGUCAUGUUCCAAUACUUGACUUAUAGAAAAAAGAAUAUGCUGAAAGAAUAAUGAAAUCUGACAUGUAUGUAGGUAUUUACCUUAGUUUAUGUGUUGGGAAGAGCAUGUUUGGAAGAGCAUGAGUAUUGUAUUUUAUUCCUUCCUGCAUACCAGGCCUGGCAUGCUCAGGAAGAGAAUUUCUGGUUAAUUUUUAUUGCUUACUAUGAUGUAGCAGGCCAGUGGUUGAUGGAGGCUCUCUGAUGUUUCACUGAAACAAAAUGUUUCAGUUACACACAAAAAUAUCAUAAAAUACACUUUUUUCAAUAAAGCUGCACCCCUACUGAUUAGCUGGUGCCCUGAGACCUAGAGAUAGUGCAGCCUUCUGCCUUAAACUUCUAGACACAUCCCUCUUCCACACUACACUUCUGUGACAAACCAGCACUUUGCAGCUGAUGGCUGCUAGAUGCACAUAUUCAUUUAUUAAUGUAUUUCAGUGGGAAAAAAAAAAAAAAAAAAAAAAAAAAAGGUGAAAAAAAAAGGUGAAAAAAAAAGGUGAAAAAAGAUAAGAGCUUAGGACUGAAAAAAAGAAAGCCAUAAGGUGACUGUGGGAGCAGCCCCAGAGCUGAGAGCAGGGUGAGCUGGAGAGCUCUGUCAGGAGAUCAAAACAAGUGGGUCCACCCUCAUAAUCUGCUUCUUGCACAACCCCUGACAGGGCUGCAUGUGAAUGUGAAGAGGGGUGAAAAGAGGACAGGCUGCUGACUUACACAGCAGUCACAAGAGAUAGACGUGAAUGUUAGAGUUGGCUCCUGCAGAUGGUACACAGAAUAAAAUAACAAGUGUAGAGUACAGAGCAAGCAAGCUGAUUCUUUAUCAGGAUAUAACAUUUAACAAUUACCAGAUCCCUUCAGUUGAUAAUGCAGCCCCCUCAGCUCUCAAGCCAUCCCUUCUGGUCUCUGUGAUGUGCAUUACUUCAAAGGAGAACAGCUGGGUCCUGGACUAUAAUUUCUCAUGCAGCUAGGAUCAGAACCAUUAGUUUAUUUGAAGGCUAGGACUAAGACCUUAGAAGUGAAUGUAGAGCUAAUAGACAGUCUUAUGUUCCUGCUGUGUUCUCAGGGCUUAAGCCAGUGAAAAAAGGGGCAGGCACAUCUAAAUUAUUUUCACCUUUUGCCUCACUUACCAUGAUUUGCAGAAAUCUAGUUCAGAAAUGACAUAGAAAUGGCUCCCUGCUGUGAGGUCCUCAUCAUACACUAAGUUGUAAUGAGUUUCUAAUGAGGUGGAGAUAAGGAAGCCAUUUUUAGUGAUUACUGUGUAGCCUAGACAAAUCUCAGAGAUGUACUAAGUGACGGCAGAAUCUUCCACUGUUUUCCAUCAGUUAAAUAUCUCAGGAUACAUAAGAUAUCCUUAUGGUAUAACAUAAGAAGGUGAUAGGACAAAAACAUAUUAAAAGCAUCUUGAUAGCUUUUUCUUUAACUUUUUAUCAGGAAUUUUUGUAAUUAGUCAGUCAUUAACAAUGAUUAAUGAUUAGAAGUAUGGCCAAUGGGAAAUACAUGUUUUGAAAUCAAUAUCAGGAAAGACUGUGCAAUAUUGGAAGCAUUUGGCUGUGGAACUGUCACUUUGCAAAAUGAGAAACAUAUUUCACCUGUGUGUUCAUCAAACAGCUCCAAAUACAUAACUGAAAUGUAAAUGAGGAUAAGAGGCAGUGGAAAACAGGAGAAUAUUUACCUUAUAUUCCAAAUUGAUACUUAAUCAUUGCUUCCAUGUCUGUCUUUAAUGAUGCCCAUAGUAUAUUUUUAUUUAUAUACAUAUAUGUGUGUGUACAUGUACAUGCUCAUAAGUGCUCCAGAAGGAAACAUUUUAUUUUUGUUUUCCUGGAAGCAUUGGGUACUCUGUGAUGAGUCUUAGCAUAGGUAAUGUAAAUCUAGGUUUUAAAGCAACCAGGACAAAAUAAAACAAAAAAUACAUAAAAUCCA